CCGGCCCGGCCGCCGCACCCCGCCCCGGCCGGCCCCUCUUAGCAUGGUGCGGGGCCGCCGCCGCCUCGUCCUCCGGCUGCCGACAUGGGCGAGAGGCUGGAGCUGCGGCUGAAGUCGCCCGUGGGAGCCGAGCCCGCCGUGUACCCGUGGCCGCUGCCCGUCUACGACAAACACCACGAUGCUGCUCAUGAAAUUAUUGAGACCAUUCGGUGGGUCUGUGAAGAAAUCCCAGAUCUCAAGCUUGCCAUGGAAAACUACGUUUUAAUUGACUAUGACACGAAAAGGUGAGAGGGAUGUUUUGGGAGGCCG
This is a long non-coding RNA of Empidonax traillii (willow flycatcher), 309 nucleotides long. RefSeq lists it as uncharacterized. NCBI's taxonomy places the organism in Eukaryota, Metazoa, Chordata, Aves, Passeriformes, Tyrannidae. The transcript has 3 exons. The record is from RefSeq and is a predicted model, not a curated record.